UAUCACAGGUAGACUUCAGCCAAGCUUCUUCGUAGCUGGAUCCCGGAUGAGCUUUUACAAUGGGACAAAAUCCACCGACCAGGUCGCUACUCCGAGCUCCCACGACAACCGAUCUUCGACCGAGCUCCUACAAUAAGCGGUCUCCUUUCAGCCUUCUACAAGAACCAGACUCCAUCUGAACUUCCAUAGCAGAUGGAUAUCGGACGAGCUUC
This 212-nucleotide long non-coding RNA is filed under the name Elaeis guineensis (African oil palm). RNAcentral describes it as "long non-coding RNA (EGUI_LNC040572)". Lineage: Eukaryota; Viridiplantae; Streptophyta; Magnoliopsida; Arecales; Arecaceae. The record is from RNAcentral.